Molecule: ribosomal RNA, 489 nt
Filed under: uncultured bacterium
Lineage: Bacteria
Description: partial 16S ribosomal RNA
Rfam family: Bacterial small subunit ribosomal RNA
Source: RNAcentral
AUUGAACGCUGGCGGCAGGCCUAACACAUGCAAGUCGAACGGUAACAGGAAGAAGCUUGCUUCUUUGCUGACGAGUGGCGGACGGGUGAGUAAUGUCUGGGAAACUGCCUGAUGGAGGGGGAUAACUACUGGAAACGGUAGCUAAUACCGCAUAACGUCGCAAGACCAAAGAGGGGGACCUUCGGGCCUCUUGCCAUCGGAUGUGCCCAGAUGGGAUUAGCUAGUAGGUGGGGUAACGGCUCACCUAGGCGACGAUCCCUAGCUGGUCUGAGAGGAUGACCGGCCACACGGAACUUGGACAACGUUCAGACUCCUACGGGAGGCAGCAGUGGGGAAUAUUGCACAAAGGGCGCAAGCCUGAUGCAGCCAUGCCGCGUGUAUGAAGAAGGCCUUCGGGUUGUAAAGUACUUUCAGCGGGGAGGAAGGGAGUAAAGUUAAUACCUUUGCUCAUUGACGUUACCCGCAGAAGAAGCACCGGCUAACUCCGUG